This 956-nucleotide unclassified non-coding RNA is filed under the name Hevea brasiliensis (rubber tree). The record is from RNAcentral. Lineage: Eukaryota; Viridiplantae; Streptophyta; Magnoliopsida; Malpighiales; Euphorbiaceae.
CUUUUUUUUUUAAUUUUUUAAAUAUUAAAAAAAUUUACAAUGAUAAAAUGAGCAAAUAACAAAAAAACUAAAGAACAUAAAACAGAUCUCAUGUUUCAGAAUGAGAACAAAUACCCAUAACAAAAGUUGUCAAAACAAAAUCCAACAAUUUAAGAACCCUACAAUUUAAGAACCCUACAAUUCAAGAGCUGCUUUGAUCAAGAUGCAUGUGGUGCAAGGACAACAAUUUAAGACACCAAAACACCAAGAUUCAACAACAAACCCUAAACUAAAAAAUCUAGAAAUUCACAUUAAAAAUUCAAAAAUACAACCAAGAAUGCAUCAAACACAAUAAAAAAAUCACAAGGAACAAAUCCAUCAAGCAUCAACAAAACAAAUCAAGGCACUAGCGGAGGAGAGGAAGGCUGAGAAGGCACUAGCGAAGGAGAAGAAUGCAUCAGCAAUGGAGAAUGAGUUGAGAGCAAAGAACUAUUCUCACCAACUUGCAAGACAUGGCGAACUAUUCACCCAGAUGUUGGAGGACAAUAACGCCAAGAUCCUCAACUUAGCACUCAAGUUUUGGUUCACCUUCAGGUCUUGCUUGGGUGGAGGCAAAUCGACAAGAGAGCAACAGAAACAUAUUUUGGUUUUGAUUUUAGAGUUUUGAAGGAGGGAAGAACAGAUUUUGGUUUUGAUUUUAGAGGUACGAAAGAGAGAAUAAUAGAUUUUGAUGGAGGGAGAACAGAUUUUGGUUUGCUUAGUCGAUGAAUUGAAGAUUCUGGAAGAGGAGAUAAAAGAAGGGUUUUUGUGAUUUUCUUUUUGAAAAUUAUAAAUAAUUUUUAGUAUGUAGAAAUUAGAGAAAAUAAUAUUUUAUUAUGUUAAGACUAAUUUGAGCUUAAUGAGAAAGCUGUGGGCCAAAAGGUCAUUUUGGGUUUAUUUGAUUUUUGAUAAAAGAUUUAGGGGCUUAUUUGAACUUA